This 257-nucleotide unclassified non-coding RNA is filed under the name uncultured fungus. RNAcentral describes it as "sequence contains ITS1". Lineage: Eukaryota; Fungi. The record is from RNAcentral.
GUAUUGAUUGCGUGUUAUCGCAAAAAUGGGGGUCAUUCUACACUUUUAAAAUAGGGGUUUGUGUGAAAACGCAAGCCCCCCUCCCGGAUCGGUUUGAUCCCAAAGGGUUGCCCACGCGGUGGUGCACAAAAGGGUGAGAUGGAUUUUUAUGUGAGAGGACACACUCUGGCGUGCACGACUCUUGUGGUAAAAGUCAGCGACAGCCCUCGCGCCUCGGUUUUACGAUAAUGAUCCUUCCGCAGGUUCACCUACGGAAA